AUGCAAAGAAGCUGUGGAACGAAGCUGAAGGCUCCCUCCGCCAAGCGGAGACCACUGCACCAGUGGUGGCUCAGCCGCGGGGGUCAUCAGCAGCUGUACUGGAGCCACCCGCGUAAAUUCGGCCAGGGUUCUCGCUCUUGUCGCGUCUGUUCAAACCGGCACGGUCUGAUCCGGAAAUAUGGCCUCAAUAUGUGCCGCCAGUGUUUCCGUCAGUACGCGAAGGAUAUCGGUUUCAUUAAGUUGGACUAAAUGAUCUUCCUUCAAAGGAUUAUCCAAGGCAUCUACUCAAUGAAAAACCAUGAUAGUUCUUUGUACAUAAAAUAACCAUUUGAAAAAAAAA
Molecule: RNA transcript, 340 nt
Organism: Nomascus leucogenys (northern white-cheeked gibbon)
Lineage: Eukaryota; Metazoa; Chordata; Mammalia; Primates; Hylobatidae
Gene name: 40S ribosomal protein S29 pseudogene
Exons: 2
Source: RefSeq, a predicted model, not a curated record